CGGCGGACGGGUGAAGUAACACGUGGAUAACCUACCUAUAAGACGUGGGAAUUAACGUUCGGAAACCGGAGCUAAUACCGGAUAAUAUAUUGAACCGCAUGGUUCAAUAGUGAAAGACGGUUUUGCUGUCACUUAUAGAUGGAUCCGCGCCGCAUUAGCUAGUUGGUAAGGUAACGGCUUACCAAGGCAACGAUGCGUAGCCGACCUGAGAGGGUGAUCGGCCACACUGGAACUGAGACACGGUCCAGACUCCUACGGGAGGCAGCAGGG
This 270-nucleotide ribosomal RNA is filed under the name uncultured Staphylococcus sp. Its description in RNAcentral is "partial 16S ribosomal RNA". It matches the Rfam family "Bacterial small subunit ribosomal RNA", at positions 96 to 354 of the family's 1533-position model. Lineage: Bacteria; Bacillati; Bacillota; Bacilli; Caryophanales; Staphylococcaceae. The record is from RNAcentral.